Molecule: long non-coding RNA, 792 nt
Filed under: Ricinus communis (castor bean)
Lineage: Eukaryota; Viridiplantae; Streptophyta; Magnoliopsida; Malpighiales; Euphorbiaceae
Description: long non-coding RNA (RCOM_LNC002597)
Source: RNAcentral
UUUCUUUUGUUCUAGGGUUAAGCUUAAGCUUCUUUUGAUGAUGUACAUUAUGAUUUUCUUUCAAUUAACAUGGUAUCAGAGCUAAAUUGUUUUAUUUUGCAAUGAGGACAUUCGGUUCUAUUUGUUGUUUGGACUAGCAAAAGGAUUAGCCUCUGCUGCUGUGUUGUCUGGUAUAGCAUAAGAAAAAUGGUGUCGUUCUAGCAUAGAGAUUGGCUUUUGCUGAAAACAACGUCAUCGUCGUUGACUGUGUGUACAUGAAAGCAGCAAACAGCGUCGUUGUUGACCCUCUGCUGUAAACGGCAGCAGCUUCUGCUUUGCAAAUAUGAAACCCAUUUGAAGAUAAAGAAAACCCAAAAAGGGCGUUGGAUUUUGCUGCAAACGGCCUCGACGUCUGCGUCUGUUGAAAACGGCCGGCCUCGACAUUGACUAUACCAAAAUCUUGGAAACCCAUUUGAAGAUAAAGAAAACCCAGAAAGGGCGUUGGGUUUUGCUGCAAACAGCCUCGACGUCGACUACUGCUGAAAACGGCUUCGAUAUUGACGGAAAUUGGGAUUUCACUGCAACUGUGCUCUCGUCGUCGUUGUCGUCUGCCACUCGGUUGAUAUUUUCUUAAGUUAAGUUGGACGUCCUUUCCUCUUACCGAAUCCAACAACAGCAGUAAAAGGUUGGAUUUAUUUUGCUUUGUGAUAGGUCUUUUUAAUGUCAGGGGCGGUGGAGAAAUUAUGUAUUGUGUUUUAAUGUUGAUAAAUGAUUAUGGGGUUUAAUGUUGACAAAUGUUAUGAGCAAUCUGUA